RNAcentral lists this ribosomal RNA (433 nucleotides) under uncultured bacterium. RNAcentral describes it as "partial 16S ribosomal RNA". It matches the Rfam family "Bacterial small subunit ribosomal RNA", at positions 29 to 507 of the family's 1533-position model. The record is from RNAcentral.
AACGAACGCUGGCGGCAUGCCUAACACAUGCAAGUCGAACGAGACCUUCGGGUCUAGUGGCGCACGGGUGCGUAACGCGUGGGAACCUGCCCUUAGGUUCGGAAUAACUCCCCGAAAGGGGUGCUAAUACCGGAUAAUGUCUUCGGACCAAAGAUUUAUCGCCUUUGGAUGGGCCCGCGUUGGAUUAGCUAGUUGGUAGGGUAAAAGCCUACCAAGGCGACGAUCCAUAGCUGGUCUGAGAGGAUGAUCAGCCACACUGGGACUGAGACACGGCCCAGACUCCUACGGGAGGCAGGAGUGGGGAAUAUUGGACAAUGGGCGGAAGGCUGAACCAGCAAUGACGCGUGAGUGAUGAAGGCCUUAGGGUUGUAAAGCUCUUUUACCCGGGAUGAUAAUGACAGUACCGGGAGAAUAAGCUCCGGCUAACUCCGUG